UAAAACUACUUUUUUGUCAUAAAUUAACCAUUUGUUUUAUUCACGUAUGUUUAUAUUUAAUUUCCCCAGUAACUCCUUGAGAAAGGUGUUAUCACUUUCCCCAACUUACAGAUGGAAAUAGUUAGGAUUAAAAGACUCAGUUGUGCAACCAAUAGAUAGAGAGGUCAAAAUUGAAACACGUUUCCUGAUUUCCACUCUCAGGAUCUUUUCACUGUACCAUUCAUCCUGCUUCCUAAUAGAACCAUGAUGCUAGUUUCAAUGCCUUCUAGUUCAUCCUCUUUCAUUUCUUUCUUCCAUUUUCUCUUUUUGUCCCUCUGUCACUCCCUUUUACAAUCCCCUUCUUCCUUUAAAAACUCCUUGUGAUGUCAUGAUGGGCAUCCAGGUUGCCUCAGAAUGAACUUUGUGUGGUAUCAUGGCCCCUGGUUUGCUUUAUUGUCCUGUUUAUUCAAAGUUAAAGUGCCAGGAGGAGAGAAGUGGGGGAGGUAAUAGAAGAAAAAAAAUUAAAGUGCCAGGAGGAGAGAAGUGGGGGAGGUAAUAGAAAAAAAAAAAAUUAAAGUGCCGGUAGAGUAAACUCAGGGGAGAAAGGAUUUUCUCAUUAAUUCUUCAUGAGAUAUAUCUUAGGGGAUUACAGUGCUUUCUUUGUGCAGCAUCUACUUGAGACAUGUGAAAAAAAGAGAUAUGUUACAAUGAAGGUUACACGUUAAAUCUUCCUUUCUUCAAGUCCUGAGGUGUAGCUUACUGAUAGAGCUAAGAGGAAAGGGAUACAAAAUUGAGACUUCUUGCCUCAGUACCAACAACACAUCUCAAUUUUAUUUUCUUCUUCCUAUUUCUACACUUAAUUAUUUUUUCCUCUAAAAUUGCAUUCCUUUACCUGAUUUGAUACUCAAUCUUGUGUACCCAAUGUCUCUAUCUAUAAACACUUUGGUUCAUGCAGACCAACAGGUAAAUGCCCAUUGAGAGCUGUAUGUAAUCCGAAUGCUUUCAAGACUCAUUUUCAAUGUUAUAGUGUCUCUGGUUCAAUGGUUACUCUACUGGGUGACCGAGGAGCCACUAUAGAAAGGCAUUAGGGUCAUCCCUCAGUAUCCAUGGGGGAUUGGUUCUAGGAAACACCCCCUACAGGCCCCUGUGGAUACAAAAUCCAUGGAUAUUCAAAUAUGUUAUGUAAAAUGGUAUAGUAUUUGCAUAAAACCUAUGCACAUCCUUCAUAUACUUCAAAUCAUCUCUAGAUUACAUAUAAUAUAUAAUGCAAUGUACAUGCUAUGUAAAUAGUUGUUCUACUAUAUUGUUUAGAGAAUACUGGCAUGAAAAAAUAAUCUGUAUAUGUUCAGUACAGGCACAACCAUCCAUUAUUAAUUUCAAACAUUUUUGAUCUGUAUUUGGUUGAAUCCACAGAUUUGGAACUCAUGGAUAUGGAAGGUCAACUCCACUCAUUAUUGUUAAUUUUUUUCUCCUCAAAGCCACCAUAGGCCUCUAUAGCUACUGGCCUGUCUAUUUUUAUAAAUAUGUUAUAGUAUUAGAGUUUCCAAAACUCCCUUCCAUCUAUUGAAUUUGCUUGUGCCCCACUUAUAAUAGGGUGCUCUUAGGUUUUCCUUAACUCUUCUAUGCUGUGUAAUACAUACUUUGGGAACAAAGGAAAAAGUAAUAUGAAAUUGAGACUCACUCUGCUAAAUUUGUUUCUUUCAGCUGGUUGGUUUCUUCUAGGCCUUUGUUAAUUCUUUUUAGGAUUGAUCAUCCAAAUCAGUGUUAAUAUUGUGAGGUUGGAUUGGCACCUAUGUUGAAGCAAAAAAUAAUAUGCUGAGCUAAAUAGAGUCUGAGACUUAAUAUAAGUUCCACUAUUUCAUAGUUCUAUGACCAGUGCAAUUCCCUUACACUUUCUGAAAUCAGUUUCAUCCUUUUAUUGAAUGAGAAUUAUACCUGCUUCAAAAGCAUUUUCUGCAAUGUAGAAUAUUCUAUGUGCAUAAGGCAUUAUAAUUGUUAGGUAGAAAUUUGAAGAUAGAUGAGCUGUUUCAGAUUAUACAGUAUAAAAUCUAACAGCUGGUUUCAUAGAAAGAAAGAAGCAACAAAGAGAGAUAACAAUAUCUGAGAGUAAAUGUCUUGAAUUAAAAUCACCAUUUAAAAGGUAUUCUUGUUUCUCAAAAUUAGCCAUUUUUUCAUAUUAAUACUUAGUAUAGAAAAAAAUGUUCAUAAACUGGUAAAUUCAUAUAUUUUUAGUAGCAGUGACUAUUGUAAUAGUACUUUUUUAGAAAGAAAUUUGACUUUAUGUAUUAUGGGUCAUAGAAUUGUUUAUUUACUUUGACCUCCUUCUGAAAAUCUAUCUGGAAGAAAUAUGAAAAAUGUAAUAUGCACAAAUAUGCUAAUAAAGUUGUUUACAAAAGUAAAAAAUGGUAGCGACCUACAUGUCAAACAAAAGGAUAUGGGUAAAUUAAUUAUGCAUAGAUGUAAGGCAGCUACUAAAUAUAUGACCUGGAAGAGUUUGUAUAAUGACAGUUAUAUAAAGAAACUCUGGGUAUAUAUAUAAAUUUGAAAGUCUGAAUAGUAAUAUACUAAAAUGUUAACAAUUAUUGCAUUGCAAAGAGAUUGUUUUUCUUUCCUAAGUUUAUAGUUUUACUUCAGACAUAUUUGGACCAGUUAACAUAACUCUUGGCUACAAAUAACAGUAAUCUGACUCCAGAAACCUAAAUAAAUUGGAGUUCAUUUUUCUCAUUUAACAAGAAGCCCAAAUUGUAUGUCUUAGUUCUAUGACUUAACAGGGUCCGGGCUAGAGACACUGUUGGUCUUUACUUCUUUGUUGCCAGAUGACUGCUGAAGUUCUCACCAUCUUUUCUGUAUUCAAGGCAGAAGGAAAGACUAGUGGAGAGAAACAUGCCAGCUACAUCCACCUCUUUUUAACUGGAAAAAGAAAGAAUGAACAGAAAGGAUGAGGACUCUCCUAUCAUUUAAGUACCUACAAGAAGCCACUGAUACCUUCCUGUGACUUUCAUGGAAUUACAAGGCUGGUCCUAUAAAUUGCUUUGACCAAACAAAUGCAGUAAAAUUGAUGUUCUGGGACUUCCAGGCCCAGCACUGAAGAAGAAUGGAAGCUGCCACUUCUCUCUUGGGUUUACCAGCAGCCAUGCUUAUGGAAGCUUGUGCUAGACUUUAAAUGUUUAGACAUCAUGUGGAGAGAGGCCUAGGAAGAUGACAGACCAUUCUGGAUGUUCCAACCCCAGCAGAGCUCACAGCGGGCUUCAGUAAUAUGAGUACUUCAGGCAAUAUAAUGGGAAGCAAAGAAUUGACAAGAUGAGUCCUGACCAAGAAAACCUUGGAAAAUUAUUGUUUUAAGCCACUAAGUUUCAGUGUGGUUUGUUAUAUAUUAAUAGGUAAGUGAAAUGUAUAGCUCGUACAAAGGCAUGGAAUGUUAAGACGUUAGGAAGAUAGGCAGAGAAAUAUAAGUCUUUCCUGGUCACAAUUCCUUUUGCACACACAGCAUGGACAGAACAAGAAGCCAAAAAAUGAACAUGAGCUAUACAUUGCUGUCAGUUUGCUGCUGUGGCCCUAAAACGUAAGACUACUUUGGGGACCAUUUGCAUGGUGAUGUUUCAGCACCAGAACUGAGCUGGCAGAAGGAAUUCCAGGUGUGGACAGUGUUGAUUCCAGAAAUCAGCAAGGAGGUAAUAGCUGCAGUUCUCAGUUUGCGUUCAGGAUGCCAACUAAUGGAAGUAAACUGAGACGUCAUGAGGGGACAGGAGACAUAAAAAGCUAUAGUUUAUGUUAGAAGCCAAGGAAUACGAAGCAGAAAGGGAAGUCAACAGAGUUAAAUGGCAGAGAUCUGGGAAGAAGUCACCAGUGUGUUCUCACUGGAUUCUGCAUAGUGCUGUCUUCAGUGCAUGAUCCCAUAACUGCCCUGCAGGAACCGUCCAGAGCUUGUUCCUUGCUCUGUAUACAUUUCCCAAAAGGUGGGCCCAGUUUCCCAGAUUCUGAAGUCACAAAUUUAUCAAGAUCUGGUGUAAAACAAUGUUCAGUUUUAAGAUAGCAUUUUUUCAAUUUAGAAGCUUUUUUUUAAAGAAAAAAAUAUGUGAUUACAUUUUUUGAAGGCUUGAAAAUAGAGAAUGGAAGGAAAUCGGGCAGUACCUGAAGACAGUCUUUCCCUUGCCCACCUCCUCAUUCCCACCACUUCCUUGAUUCCACUGGAAACAGCUGUGUGAAACCCAGCUACCAUUUUUGUCCAGAUCGGCCCUUUAGACUUGAGCAUAUGUCUCCUCCUGAUCACUUAGCUCCUCCAUUUAUAAAACUGGAGUAGAAAUUCCUUCCUCAUAUGCUAGAAUGUAAAUUAAAUAAUUAGUAAUUUGUUAAACACUUUGAAAAUGAAAAUGCUAAGUAUUGUUAUUAUUUCAGGGGCAAUUUACUCCUUCUGAUUCAUUUGUAAUUAUUUCAUCAAAACAUCUUUCAGUAAGAGCUGUUUGAUGUGUAAAAUGCCUUAUGGGCCUUCCCUAUAAGACUUUUGUUAUCAAAAUUAGAUGGCGGCCUUGCCAACUGGAACUCAUUUGCAACCAAAGGUUUGCAAUAGUGUAAGUGUCAAAUCACCCUUUUACUCAGCCAGAAGCCCAUUAAAAAACAAACAAAGCCUAGAACAGUGAUUCAUCCCUGUAUUUGUCUGUAAUAGUCCCUUACCAGAAAAUCAGAUAAGGACUAGAGACAGGCCCGGGUACCAAGUGGGAACUUGAUGAAGUUUGAGUUUAGCCCUUUCCCUGACUCUCGCACCUCUCUAGGAACUCUUGCUUCCUCAGUUCCAGGUUCCUAGCUCAGUGAAUUUAUAUACAACUAUAUGUCAUAUUGGAAGAUUGAUGUGGUGCACUGAGCCCUUAAUAAAAUUAAUCAUGAUUAACUCCUGAACAAUAUAUUUUUUGAAGUUUUUAAAAUACCCCUUAGAGCAGUGGGGAUUGAAUAGUUAACCCUGGAUUGUCAUGAAUCAUAGCCUGAAGCAGCCAAUGAGAAAUGAGAAAUCUCUUUGACGUCUACACUUAAAUCUU
Non-coding RNA from Microcebus murinus (gray mouse lemur), 5009 nucleotides. The record is from RefSeq and is a predicted model, not a curated record. Lineage: Eukaryota; Metazoa; Chordata; Mammalia; Primates; Cheirogaleidae.